Long non-coding RNA from Lolium rigidum, 177 nucleotides. RefSeq lists it as uncharacterized. The transcript is spliced from 3 exons. The record is from RefSeq and is a predicted model, not a curated record. NCBI's taxonomy places the organism in Eukaryota, Viridiplantae, Streptophyta, Magnoliopsida, Poales, Poaceae.
UUGUCUUCGACAUCUCCGUUGGUGCUGGAGCUGCUGACCGGACAGUCACCGGUGUUCUCCAAGGGUGCAUCAUUUCACGUCACAUCCAUUUUGUUUAUUGACAGUAUGCAAAGGUUUUACAAGAGCUCCACGCUGAAAGAAGUUUGAAGACACGUGAAGCCCUACUCAGCAAAAAGU